RNAcentral lists this ribosomal RNA (2337 nucleotides) under Paraburkholderia fungorum. RNAcentral describes it as "partial 23S ribosomal RNA". It matches the Rfam family "Bacterial large subunit ribosomal RNA", at positions 588 to 2925 of the family's 2925-position model. Lineage: Bacteria; Pseudomonadati; Pseudomonadota; Betaproteobacteria; Burkholderiales; Burkholderiaceae. The record is from RNAcentral.
AAGGGGUGACGGCGUACCUUUUGUAUAAUGGGUCAGCGACUUACAUUCAGUGGCAAGCUUAACCGAUUAGGGCAGGCGUAGCGAAAGCGAGUCCGAACAGGGCGAUUCAGUCGCUGGGUGUAGACCCGAAACCAGGUGAUCUAUCCAUGGCCAGGAUGAAGGUGCGGUAACACGUACUGGAGGUCCGAACCCACUAACGUUGAAAAGUUAGGGGAUGAGCUGUGGAUAGGGGUGAAAGGCUAAACAAACCUGGAAAUAGCUGGUUCUCUCCGAAAACUAUUUAGGUAGUGCCUCGUGUAUCACCUUCGGGGGUAGAGCACUGUCAUGGUUGUGGGGUCCAUUGCGGAUUACUACGCCAUAGCAAACUCCGAAUACCGAAGAGUGCAAUCACGGGAGACAGACAUCGGGUGCUAACGUCCGGUGUCAAGAGGGAAACAACCCAGACCGCCAGCUAAGGUCCCCAAAUAUUGCUAAGUGGGAAACGAAGUGGGAAGGCUAAAACAGUCAGGAGGUUGGCUUAGAAGCAGCCAUCCUUUAAAGAAAGCGUAAUAGCUCACUGAUCGAGUCGUCCUGCGCGGAAGAUGUAACGGGGCUAAGCAAUAUACCGAAGCUGCGGAUGCACAUUUAUGUGCAUGGUAGGAGAGCGUUCCGUAAGCCUGCGAAGGUGCAUUGAAAAGUGUGCUGGAGGUAUCGGAAGUGCGAAUGCUGACAUGAGUAGCGAUAAAGGGGGUGAAAGGCCCCCUCGCCGUAAGCCCAAGGUUUCCUACGCAACGUUCAUCGGCGUAGGGUGAGUCGGCCCCUAAGGCGAGGCAGAAAUGCGUAGCUGAUGGGAAGCAGGUUAAUAUUCCUGCACCAUUGUUAAAUGCGAUGGGGGGACGGAUCGCGGAAGGUUGUCCGGGUGUUGGAAGUCCCGGUCCUUGCAUUGGAGAAGGCGCUCAGGCAAAUCCGGGCGCGGAAUUCAAGGGUGCGAGGCCAGUCGCUUAGGCGACGAAGCAAUCGGAAGUGGUUCCAAGAAAAGCCUCUAAGCUUCAGUUUAACAGGACCGUACCGCAAACCGACACAGGUGGGCGAGAUGAGUAUUCUAAGGCGCUUGAGAGAACUCGGGAGAAGGAACUCGGCAAAUUGGUACCGUAACUUCGGGAUAAGGUACGCCCCUGUAGCUUGAUGCCCCUGCGGGCAGAGGGUGAAGGGGUUGCAAUAAACUGGUGGCUGCGACUGUUUAAUAAAAACACAGCACUCUGCAAACACGAAAGUGGACGUAUAGGGUGUGACGCCUGCCCGGUGCCGGAAGAUUAAAUGAUGGGGUGCAAGCUCUUGAUUGAAGUCCCGGUAAACGGCGGCCGUAACUAUAACGGUCCUAAGGUAGCGAAAUUCCUUGUCGGGUAAGUUCCGACCUGCACGAAUGGCGUAACGAUGGCCACACUGUCUCCUCCCGAGACUCAGCGAAGUUGAAGUGUUUGUGAUGAUGCAAUCUCCCCGCGGCUAGACGGAAAGACCCCAUGAACCUUUACUGUAGCUUUGCAUUGGACUUUGAACCGAUCUGUGUAGGAUAGGUGGGAGGCUAUGAAGCGUGGACGCCAGUCUGCGUGGAGCCGUCCUUGAAAUACCACCCUGGUUUGUUUGAGGUUCUAACCUUGGUCCGUAAUCCGGAUCGGGGACAGUGCAUGGUAGGCAGUUUGACUGGGGCGGUCUCCUCCCAAAGUGUAACGGAGGAGUACGAAGGUACGCUAGGUACGGUCGGAAAUCGUGCUGAUAGUGCAAUGGCAUAAGCGUGCUUAACUGCGAGACCGACAAGUCGAGCAGGUGCGAAAGCAGGUCAUAGUGAUCCGGUGGUUCUGUAUGGAAGGGCCAUCGCUCAACGGAUAAAAGGUACUCUGGGGAUAACAGGCUGAUACCGCCCAAGAGUUCAUAUCGACGGCGGUGUUUGGCACCUCGAUGUCGGCUCAUCUCAUCCUGGGGCUGUAGCCGGUCCCAAGGGUAUGGCUGUUCGCCAUUUAAAGAGGUACGUGAGCUGGGUUUAAAACGUCGUGAGACAGUUUGGUCCCUAUCUGCCGUGGGCGCUGGAUAUUUGAAGGGGGCUGCUCCUAGUACGAGAGGACCGGAGUGGACGAACCUCUGGUGUACCGGUUGUCACGCCAGUGGCAUCGCCGGGUAGCUAUGUUCGGAAGAGAUAACCGCUGAAAGCAUCUAAGCGGGAAACUCGCCUUAAGAUGAGAUAUCCCCGGGGCUUCGAGCCCCUUGAAGGGUCGUUCAAGACCAGGACGUUGAUAGGUCAGGUGUGGAAGCGCAGUAAUGCGUUAAGCUAACUGAUACUAAUUGCCCGUAAGGCUUGAUCCU